AUUGAACGCUGGCGGCAGGCCUAACACAUGCAAGUCGAGCGGAGCGGCGGACGGGUGAGUAAUGCCUAGGAAUCUGCCUGGUAGUGGGGGAUAACGUCCGGAAACGUGCGCUAAUACCGCAUACUAUCAGAUGAGCCUAGGUCGGAUUAGCUAGUUGGUGGGGGAAAGGCCUACCAAGGUGACGAUCCGUAACUGGUCUGAGCGGAUGAUCAGUCACACUGGAAUUGAGACCCGGUCCAGAGUCCUACGUGAGGCAGCAUUGGGGAAUAUUGGACAAUGGGCGAAAGCCUGAUACAGCCAUGCCGCGUGUGUGAAGAAGGUCUUCGGAUUGUAAAGUACUUUCAGCGGGGAGGCGUUACCCGCAGAAGAAGCACCGGCUAACUCCGUGCCAGCCGCCGCGGUAAUUC
RNAcentral lists this ribosomal RNA (407 nucleotides) under uncultured bacterium. RNAcentral's name for it is "partial 16S ribosomal RNA". It matches the Rfam family "Bacterial small subunit ribosomal RNA", at positions 30 to 526 of the family's 1533-position model. The record is from RNAcentral.